Capsicum annuum is the source of this 400-nucleotide long non-coding RNA. RefSeq lists it as uncharacterized. The record is from RefSeq and is a predicted model, not a curated record. NCBI's taxonomy places the organism in Eukaryota, Viridiplantae, Streptophyta, Magnoliopsida, Solanales, Solanaceae. The transcript has 2 exons.
AUUUAUUAUUAAAUUAUUAGCAACCAACACAAUAUGGCUCCAAAGAUGAUGGUUCCUCUUCUCCUUUUGUUGGUUUUUGCAAGUAUAUUAAUACAUGAAGUGGAACCAAGGAAUGUAGUGUAUGUGCAUUGUGGCAAUAACAAUGAUUGUGACUUUAUGUGUAAAGAUCCAAAUUAUAAGUUUGAACCUCUUUGCUAUAAACGUUUUUGUGUUUGUGACAAACGUUUAUUCUGCAAAAAUACAUUUACUUGUAAAUUUCAAGGAAUUACAUGUAAUGAUCCUAGUAAAACUCCCAAAUGUAUUCAUUACACUUGUCAAUGUCCUGCCCCUUGGUGAAAAAAAUAAAUAAACAUAUUGUGACCCUCAAUAAUUCACAAAAUAUAUACAUAAUAUAAUAUAA